AGGACGAACGCUGGCGGCGUGCCUAACACAUGCAAGUGGAGCGACGAACCAGGCUUCGGCCUGGGGCAGAGCCGCGAACGGGUGAGUAACACGUGGGUAACCUGCCCCGAUGAUUGGGACAACCCGAGGAAACUCGGGCUAAUACCGAAUGUGCCCUCCGACCAUAAGGUCGCUGGGGAAAGGAAGCUUCGGCCUCCGCAUCGGGAUGGGCCCGCGGCCCAUUAGCUUGUUGGUGGGGUAACGGCCUACCAAGGCGACGACGGGUA
Molecule: ribosomal RNA, 266 nt
Filed under: uncultured bacterium
Lineage: Bacteria
Description: partial small subunit ribosomal RNA
Rfam family: Bacterial small subunit ribosomal RNA
Source: RNAcentral